This 1457-nucleotide long non-coding RNA is filed under the name Coffea arabica (coffee). Its description in RNAcentral is "long non-coding RNA (CARA_LNC001235)". Lineage: Eukaryota; Viridiplantae; Streptophyta; Magnoliopsida; Gentianales; Rubiaceae. The record is from RNAcentral.
AUUCUGAAAGUGAAGAAGAGUAGAAAUAUGAGGACUACUCGGUAAAUCCUGAGAUGGAAACUAGAAUUAAGCAAGCUAAAGAUAUUGUUCAAAACACUCGAGAUGUUACUUAGGAAACUUAGCAAGAAGCUCAUGAUAUUUAGGAGGGUACUGGAGAGAAAAAAUAGUUGGAUCACAAUCCUGACCUUACUAUUACUGAAAUGCAAGUUGAAACACAAAAGUAUAGGAUCCUGUACAAGAAACUCCCAUAAGAUCUUAUCAACCUGAGGAAUUAUCUAAUCAAGCAGAAAAGCCUCCAAUAGCAUUUAUUGCUAAGGUUGCCGAACUCACUCAAGGACUAGAUUGGAAAAUCCUGCUCAAGAAACCAUCCUUCACAUACAUCAACUAUUACAUAUCAUAUUGCAAUUACUUAGCAAGUCUUACAGGAGCUAGAAAUGGAAGACACAAGCCUUCUAAACAGCAAACGUACAAGGGCAAGAAAAGAAAGAGAUUAGAAGGAUCCAAAUCUAAGAAGAAGUUUGACCAAGCUUAAAAAGUCCUUAGGAUCUAGUUAUUUAGGAUUUUCUUAGAAAUAGGAUUUCUCUCUAUUUUGUUUUGUCUACUACACUUAUUUAGGAGGAACUCUUAUUUAUGUUUGAUUAUUGUUGUAGUACCUUUUCUCUAUGAUUUAAUGUUAAUGUUUGCCUUUAUUUGCAUAAUUUCUUGAUUUUGUUGCACAAUUAUCUUAUUCCUGCUAUAUUACGUGGCUGUUAUUGUUUUAAUGAUGCCAGAAAGGGGAGACAAUACGAUUGUUGACUAAUAUUGUUGAUUAAUCCCUUAUUAAUUGGUUUACCAAAUAAUCUCCAUUUUUUAUGAUGACAAAUCAAUGUGAUGAUAGCUAACAAGUUCAUUCAAGUAUGCAGAAAUUUUUUGAAGUGCAGAGUGCUUCACAUAAUCUCGAACAAAUGAGCAACACCUUCGAAUGUCCGAAUUGCACUAAGAGUAUCAUAAAAGGUGGCAUUUUGAACUACAUGAAUGAAUGAUUGGAUGAAUGGAUAACUUUAUUGAUCAUCCAAAAAAGGGCUAAACACCUAAUAAAGCCCCAUAGACAAAACAAAUGAAAAGUCGGAUGGAUCAACAACCACUAUAAUCAUCUGAAAGUCUCAUACAAGUCUCGCAAAAGAAGACAAAUACAACUAUGCAGAUGAUUGAUCAGACGUAAUCAUCAAAACUACAGCCAUCCACAUUGAGCAUAAGGGUUUCAAGCCAAAGAAGAAAUGGAUACAUCUUCCACUAUUUGACACGUCUCUCAGAAGGUUAAAAGAAGCAUUGUCAAGCAUUCAGAUGAUGUCUCAUGCUUUUCAACCGUUAACUUUGCUCCCAACGACUAUUGCUUUUUCUAUUUAUUGUAGACAGUUGAGGAGAAGUAAAGCAAAAUUCUAUUCUAUAUUUAAACCAACAGUUUCAAUUAGUUUAAU